AUGGCUAUACGGAUAGAUAGAGCAUCCCGCUGCCAGCGGGACGGUCCCAGGUUCGAAUCCUGGU
Molecule: transfer RNA, 64 nt
Filed under: Marinirhabdus gelatinilytica
Lineage: Bacteria; Pseudomonadati; Bacteroidota; Flavobacteriia; Flavobacteriales; Flavobacteriaceae
Description: tRNA-Gly
Source: RNAcentral